RNAcentral lists this ribosomal RNA (397 nucleotides) under uncultured bacterium. Its description in RNAcentral is "partial 16S ribosomal RNA". It matches the Rfam family "Bacterial small subunit ribosomal RNA", at positions 523 to 918 of the family's 1533-position model. The record is from RNAcentral.
AUACGUAGGUGGCAAGCGUUGUCCGGAAUUAUUGGGCGUAAAGCGCGCGCAGGUGGUUCCUUAAGUCUGAUGUGAAAGCCCCCGGCUCAACCGGGGAGGGUCAUUGGAAACUGGGGAACUUGAGUGCAGAAGAGGAUAGUGGAAUUCCAAGUGUAGCGGUGAAAUGCGUAGAGAUUUGGAGGAACACCAGUGGCGAAGGCAGUUGCCUGGUCUUUAACUGACGCUGAGGCGCGAAAGCGUGGGGAGCAAACAGGAUUAGAUACCCUGGUAGGCCACGCCGUAAACGAUGAGUGCUAAGUGUUGGGGGGUUUCCGCCCCUCAGUGCUGCAGCUAACGCGUGAAGCACUCCGCCUGGGGAGUACGGUCGCAAGACUGAAACUCAAAUGAAUUGACGGGG